RNAcentral lists this ribosomal RNA (486 nucleotides) under uncultured Clostridia bacterium. RNAcentral's name for it is "partial 16S ribosomal RNA". The stretch from base 387 to 486 matches the Rfam family "Bacterial small subunit ribosomal RNA", at positions 904 to 1003 of the family's 1533-position model. The record is from RNAcentral. Lineage: Bacteria; Bacillati; Bacillota; Clostridia.
CCUACCUUAACCCUUCCCCCGUUCGGUUUGGUCCGUUCCGUUCGUCCCCUACCCCGAACCGUAACCGUCCCGGGCCCGGUCCGGUACCCGAACCUAAACUUAAACGUACGAACCUACCUACGGAACGGGGAAAACGGAAACGUACCGGGUAAAGGGGGACGAAACCAAAACGAAGGUUAAGUUAAGAACCUUACCCGUUAGGGUUACGUACCCGACCGGUAACCCGGUAAAACGUAGGUAGGUAACUUAACGGUUAGGGUUGGGUAGGGGGAAGGUUUAGUUACCCGUACCCCCCGUUUCCGGUCCGGCCCGCGUUAAACGUUAACCAACUAAAGUUAAGUACCUACCCCACGGUGGGAGGUACCGGCCACGUAGGUAAGAACACGAAAGUAUGGACGGGGCCCGCACAAGCAGUGGAGUAUGUGGUUUAAUUCGAAGCAACGCGAAGAACCUUACCAGGCCUUGACAUCCCGAUGACCGCUCUAG